AGUAUACUGAUAGUUAUGUGUAUACAAUUAACAGUAUAUACAUUUGAAAAUAACAUGUUGUAUAAAUCAUAAUAAUAAAAAUUGUAAACAUUUAUACAGUAAAAGUAAGAAGUAAUCAGAUUUGAUGGCUAAUACUAAUCAGGGGUUCAUCGCUGUUCAUGUUGGAGCAGGGCGACAUUCAGAAACCCUAAAAGAACAAUAUCAGAAAUUAUGCCGUCAAGCAUGUAAAGCAGGUAUUCAUAAUCUAAAAAAUGGUGGUAGUUCAUUGGAUGCUGCAGUGGAAACAGUAAUUAUAUUAGAAAAUUCUCCUUUAACUAAUGCUGGAUUUGGUUCCAAUCUAACAUUGGAAGGAACAGUGGAAUGUGAUGCCAGUGUUAUGGAUGGUACUACAUUGCAAUUUGGAGCAGUUGGUGCAGUUAGUGGAAUAAAAAAUCCUAUUUUAUUGGCAAAACGACUCUGUGAACAUCAAGCAGUUAAAAUUGCAUAUGGUAGAAUUCCACCAAGUUUCUUAGUUGGAAGUGGAGCACAUAUUUGGGCACAGGAAAUGGGAAUACAAACUGUACCUCCAGAACAAUUAAUAUCUACGAAAGCACAGAAAAUGUAUAAACAUUACAAAAGAAAAAUAGAGAAUUCUGACACAGAAACUUAUAAGUACACUAAAAGAAGAAUGGAUACGGUUGGUGCUGUAUGUGUUGAUAAAGAAGGAAAUAUUGCUGCAGCUUGUUCUAGCGGUGGCAUAAUUUUAAAAUAUCCUGGGAGAGUAGGCCAGGCUGGGAUGUGGGGAGGUGGUAUAUGGGCAUGUAAAGAUAAAUAUGCCGUAGGAACAAGUACAUCAGGUUGUGGAGAACACCUUGUUCGCACUUCACUUGCACGGACAGCUGCUGAAGCUAUAUCCGAUAGUUCAUGUCCAACUCUUGGCUUACAUCGUGCUAUGAACGUUGAUUUUAUCGAUUCAAAGUUUUUACGCGGACUUGAUCAAAAACUUGGCGGUGUUAUUGCUAUCCGAUAUGCAGCUGAAGAAGGAUUAGGAGAUUUUCUCUGGAGUUAUUCAACUAAUUCUAUGAUAAUAGGUUACAUGAAUUCAUGUGAACAGGCAGCAACGAGUCACAUGGCUGUUCUGUCAGCUGAUGAAGUUGGUAAAAAAGCAAUUGUUGAAGGAAUUUGUUUCAAAAUCAGAUAACAUUAUUACGAAUCGUGAUUACAUGAUACAAAAUGUUAUGUUGUUAUUUUCAUGAAUUAGAAUUGUUCCAACACUCCUUACACAGGCAUUGCAUUAUCUUCUAAUGCAUCAUCUACUAAGGAAAUAUAUCUUUGAAUAAAACAGGAUCUGCUCGAAAUUCAACUGACUGUAAUGGCAUUGACCCAUAAAUUGAAGAAAAUUUAUUUAUGCAU
This 1392-nucleotide unclassified non-coding RNA is filed under the name Megachile rotundata (alfalfa leafcutting bee). RNAcentral's name for it is "threonine aspartase 1-like, transcript variant X2". The record is from RNAcentral. Lineage: Eukaryota; Metazoa; Arthropoda; Insecta; Hymenoptera; Megachilidae.